GUGCUCACUUCAGCAGCACAUAUAGUAAAACCAGAACAACACAGAGAUUGGCCUGGCGCCUGUGCGUGGAUAACACAUACAAAUUUGUGAAGUGCUCCAUAUAUUU
Erinaceus europaeus (western European hedgehog) is the source of this 106-nucleotide small nuclear RNA. The record is from Ensembl. NCBI's taxonomy places the organism in Eukaryota, Metazoa, Chordata, Mammalia, Eulipotyphla, Erinaceidae.